GAUGAACGCUGGCGGCGUGCCUAAUACAUGCAAGUCGAGCGAACAGGCGAGGAGCUUGCUCCUCUGACGUUAGCGGCGGACGGGUGAGUAACACGUGGAUAACCUACCUAUAAGACUGGGAUAACUUCGGGAAACCGGAGCUAAUACCGGAUAACAUGUUGAACCGCAUGGUUCAACAGUGAAAGACGGUCUUGCUGUCACUUAUAGAUGGAUCCGCGCCGCAUUAGCUAGUUGGUAAGGUAACGGCUUACCAAGGCAACGAUGCGUAGCCGACCUGAGAGGGUGAUCGGCCGCACUGGAACUGAGACACGGUCCAGACUCCUACGGGAGGCAGCAGUAGGGAAUCUUCCGCAAUGGGCGAAAGCCUGACGGAGCAACGCCGCGUGAGUGAUGAAGGUCUUCGGAUCGUAAAACUCUGUUAUUAGGGAAGAACAAAUGUGUAAGUAACUAUGCACGUCUUGACGGUACCUAAUCAGAAAGCCACGGCUAACUACGUG
Molecule: ribosomal RNA, 497 nt
Filed under: uncultured bacterium
Lineage: Bacteria
Description: partial 16S ribosomal RNA
Rfam family: Bacterial small subunit ribosomal RNA
Source: RNAcentral